This 567-nucleotide ribosomal RNA is filed under the name uncultured bacterium. Its description in RNAcentral is "bacterial SSU rRNA". It matches the Rfam family "Bacterial small subunit ribosomal RNA", at positions 8 to 623 of the family's 1533-position model. The record is from RNAcentral.
AGAGUUUGAUCCUGGCUCAGAACGAACGCUGGCGGCAGGCCUAACACAUGCAAGUCGAGCGCCCCGCAAGGGGAGCGGCGGACGGGUGAGUAACGCGUGGGAACGUACCCCUUUCUACGGAAUAGCCUCGGGAAACUGGGAGUAAUACCGUAUAAGCCCUACGGGGGAAAGAUUUAUCGGGAAGGGAUCGGCCCGCGUUGGAUUAGGUAGUUGGUGGGGUAAUGGCCUACCAAGCCGACGAUCCAUAGCUGGUUUGAGAGGAUGAUCAGCCACACUGGGACUGAGACACGGCCCAGACUCCUACGGGAGGCAGCAGUGGGGAAUCUUAGACAAUGGGCGCAAGCCUGAUCUAGCCAUGCCGCGUGAGCGAUGAAGGCCUUAGGGUUGUAAAGCUCUUUCAGUGGGGAAGAUAAUGACUGUACCCACAGAAGAAGCCCCGGCUAACUCCGUGCCAGCAGCCGCGGUAAUACGGAGGGGGCUAGCGUUGUUCGGAAUUACUGGGCGUAAAGCGCACGUAGGCGGACCGGAAAGUCAGAGGUGAAAUCCCAGGGCUCAACCUUGGAACUG